GUGGGGAAUAUUGCACAAUGGGCGCAAGCCUGAUGCAGCGACGCCGCGUGAAGGAUGAAGUAUUUCGGUAUGUAAACUUCUAUCAGCAGGGAAGAAAAUGACGGUACCUGACUAAGAAGCCCCGGCUAACUACGUGCCAGCAGCCGCGGUAAUACGUAGGGGGCAAGCGUUAUCCGGAUUUACUGGGUGUAAAGGGAGCGUAGAUGGCAUGGCAAGUCUGAAGUGAAAGCCCGGGGCUUAACCCCGGGACUGCUUUGGAAACUGUUAAGCUAGAGUGCAGGAGGGGUAAGCGGAAUUCCUAGUGUAGCGGUGAAAUGCGUAGAUAUUAGGAGGAACACCGGUGGCGAAGGCGGCUUACUGGACUGUAACUGACAUUGAGGCUCGAAAGCGUGGGGAGCAAACAGGAUUAGAAACCCUAGUAGUCC
Molecule: ribosomal RNA, 425 nt
Filed under: uncultured bacterium
Lineage: Bacteria
Description: bacterial SSU rRNA
Rfam family: Bacterial small subunit ribosomal RNA
Source: RNAcentral